GUUAUACUCCCUCCGUUCGGAAUUACUUGUUGCGGAAAUGGACGUAUACAUCUAGAUACAUCCAUUUCCGCAACAAGUAAUUCCGAACGGAGGGAGUAUUAA
Non-coding RNA from Triticum urartu, 102 nucleotides. The record is from Rfam. NCBI's taxonomy places the organism in Eukaryota, Viridiplantae, Streptophyta, Magnoliopsida, Poales, Poaceae.